AGAGUUUGAUCCUGGCUCAGAUUGAACGCUGGCGGCAUGCCUUACACAUGCAAGUCGAACGGCAGCACGGGGGCAACCCUGGUGGCGAGUGGCGAACGGGUGAGUAAUAUAUCGGAACGUACCCAGUAGUGGGGGAUAACUAUCCGAAAGGAUAGCUAAUACCGCAUACGAUCUGUGGAUGAAAGCAGGGGAUCUUCGGACCUUGUGCUAUUGGAAUGGCCGAUAUCUGAUUAGCUAGUUGGUAGGGUAAAAGCCUACCAAGGCGACGAUCAGUAGCUGGUCUGAGAGGACGACCAGCCACACUGGAACUGAGACACGGUCCAGACUCCUACGGGAGGCAGCAGUGGGGAAUUUUGGACAAUGGGGGCAACCCUGAUCCAGCAAUGCCGCGUGAGUGAAGAAGGCCCUCGGGUUGUAAAGCUCUUUUGUCAGGG
Molecule: ribosomal RNA, 434 nt
Filed under: uncultured bacterium
Lineage: Bacteria
Description: bacterial SSU rRNA
Rfam family: Bacterial small subunit ribosomal RNA
Source: RNAcentral